This 448-nucleotide long non-coding RNA is filed under the name Homo sapiens (human). Its description in RNAcentral is "non-protein coding lnc-ALDH7A1-11:1". The record is from RNAcentral. Lineage: Eukaryota; Metazoa; Chordata; Mammalia; Primates; Hominidae.
UAAAGCACAAACUAUGUUUAACAUUUAACAUAUCAGGAAGAUACUAGUUGCAAGGACUCAAAAACCAAAAUUGUAUCUGAUGACCUUAAGAACUGUAUAAUUGAAGUGAGCCUUGCUGAUCCACAGAGCAACGGAAUUACAUUGAGAAAACUGAAAUAAUUACUAAAAUUGUUCUGGGUGAAAACUCCCUGUGUAACUCCCAUGGAAUAAACUUUGUUAUUGACAGAAAGUGUUCACCAUUAAAAAAAACUGAAGACCAUAUUUGGAGUUGCUGUUGUCAGAAUGACUGAUGGUUACUUGCUUUGUCUUUUCUAUGUGGGUUUUUAAUAAAAAACUUCAACAAUCUGAUGCAGAUAACUAGCUGAGCUUGGCAUCAAGAGGUCUGCCAAAUUCAGAAAAAGAUGACAGAAAUCAUGGCCUGAGAGGGUAGACAAAUGACUUGAAAAGA